CAACAGGGAUUGCCUCAGUAACGGCGAGUGAAGCGGCAACAGCUCAAAUUUUAAAGCUGGCGUCUUCGACGUCCGCAUUGUAAUUUGGAGAGGCAUCUUCGGAUUGGGCGCCAGCCUAUGUUCCUUGGAACAGGACGUCACAGAGGGUGAGAAUCCCGUGCUUGGCUGGCUGUCCCAUUUCAUGUGAAGUGUCUUCGACGAGUCGAGUUGUUUGGGAAUGCAGCUCAAAAUGGGUGGUAAAUUUCAUCUAAAGCUAAAUAUUGGUGGGAGACCGAUAGCGCACAAGUAGAGUGAUCGAAAGAUGAAAAGCACUUUGAAAAUAGAGUUAAAAAGUACGUGAAAUUGUUGAAAGGGAAGCGCUUGAGACCAGACUCGGUUGGUGAUGAUCAGCUGUCCUUUUGGGCAGUGCACUUGUCGCCGGUUGGGCCAGCAUCGGUUGAGACGGCGGGAUAAAGGUUUUGGGAAUGUGGCUCCUCUCGGGGAGUGUUAUAGCCCAGAAUGCAAUGCCGCCAGCCUCGACCGAGGACCGCGCUUCGGCUAGGAUGCUGGCAUAAU
Molecule: ribosomal RNA, 555 nt
Filed under: Verpa bohemica
Lineage: Eukaryota; Fungi; Ascomycota; Pezizomycetes; Pezizales; Morchellaceae
Description: eukaryotic LSU rRNA
Rfam family: Eukaryotic large subunit ribosomal RNA
Source: RNAcentral